This 483-nucleotide ribosomal RNA is filed under the name uncultured bacterium. RNAcentral describes it as "partial 16S ribosomal RNA". It matches the Rfam family "Bacterial small subunit ribosomal RNA", at positions 28 to 507 of the family's 1533-position model. The record is from RNAcentral.
GACGAACGCUGGCGGCGUGCUUAACACAUGCAAGUCGAACGCUGAAGCUCAGCUUUUGUUGGGUGGAUGAGUGGCGAACGGGUGAGUAACACGUGAGUAACCUGCCUCCUUCUUUGGGAUAACGCCCGGAAACGGGUGCUAAUACUGGAUAUUCACUGGUCUUCGCAUGGGGGUUGGUGGAAAGGGUUUUUCUGGUGGGGGAUGGGCUCGCGGCCUAUCAGCUUGUUGGUGGGGUGAUGGCCUACCAAGGCUUUGACGGGUAGCCGGCCUGAGAGGGUGACCGGUCACAUUGGGACUGAGAUACGGCCCAGACUCCUACGGGAGGCAGCAGUGUGGAAUAUUGCACAAUGGGCGCAAGCCUGAUGCAGCGACGCCGCGUGAGGGAUGGAGGCCUUCGGGUUGUGAACCUCUUUCGCUCAUGGUCAAGCCGCAACAAUGGUUGUGGUGAGGGUAGUGGGUAAAGAAGCGCCGGCUAACUACGUG